AUUGAACGCUGGCGGCAUGCUUUACACAUGCAAGUCGAACGGCAGCGCGGGCUUCGGCCUGGCGGCGAGUGGCGGACGGGUGAGUAAUGCCUCGGAACGUGCCCAGUAGUGGGGGAUAGCCCGGCGAAAGCCGGAUUAAUACCGCAUACGACCUGAGGGUGAAAGCGGGGGACCGAAAGGCCUCGCGCUAUUGGAGCGGCCGAUGUCGGAUUAGCUAGUUGGUGGGGUAAAGGCUUACCAAGGCGACGAUCCGUAACUGGUCUGAGAGGACGACCAGCCACACUGGGACUGAGACACGGCCCAGACUCCUACGGGAGGCAGCAGUGGGGAAUUUUGGACAAUGGGGGCAACCCUGAUCCAGCCAUGCCGCGUGCGGGAAGAAGGCCUUCGGAUUGUAAACCGCUUUUGUUCGGGAAGAAGGCCACUAGGCUAAUACCCCGGGGUGAUGACGUUACCGAAAGAAUAAGCACCGGCUAACUACGUG
RNAcentral lists this ribosomal RNA (484 nucleotides) under uncultured bacterium. Its description in RNAcentral is "partial 16S ribosomal RNA". It matches the Rfam family "Bacterial small subunit ribosomal RNA", at positions 29 to 507 of the family's 1533-position model. The record is from RNAcentral.